This 301-nucleotide ribosomal RNA is filed under the name uncultured bacterium. RNAcentral's name for it is "partial 16S ribosomal RNA". It matches the Rfam family "Bacterial small subunit ribosomal RNA", at positions 509 to 807 of the family's 1533-position model. The record is from RNAcentral.
CAGUAGCCGCGGGAAUACGCAGGUGGCAAGCGUUGUCCGGAAUUAUUGGGCGUAAAGGGCUCGCAGGCGGUUUCUUAAGUCUGAUGUGAAAGCCCCCGGCUCAACCGGGGAGGGUCAUUGGAAACUGGGAAACUUGAGUGCGGAAGAGGAGAGUGGAAUUCCACGUGUAGCGGUGAAAUGCGUAGAGAUGUGGAGGAACACCAGUGGCGAAGGCGACUCUCUGGUCUGUAACUGACGCUGAGGAGCGAAAGCGUGGGGAGCGAACAGGAUUAGAUACCCGGGUAGUCCCUGUCUCUUAUAC